Pistacia vera is the source of this 1316-nucleotide RNA transcript. RefSeq lists it as uncharacterized. Lineage: Eukaryota; Viridiplantae; Streptophyta; Magnoliopsida; Sapindales; Anacardiaceae. The transcript has 6 exons. The record is from RefSeq and is a predicted model, not a curated record.
CUCUCUCUCUCUCUCUCUAUGACAUCACCGAUCCCCUUCUCAAUCGACGACAAAGACCUAGACGAUGCCGCAUUAUGGGCCGUAAUUGACUCAGCCGCAGCUUCACACUCCUCCUCCUCCUCCAAAUCUCGCAAACCUCUCGCCAUUAAAUACCCUAACUACCAAUCCCCACCCACCCCGAUCUCCCACGCUUCUCCACCUCCAAACCCUAAAAACCACCACCACCACCACCACCACUACCACAACCGCAGGCAACAGUACUCCCCGAACUCUGAUCAUCACCGACAUGGAGAGAUCGUUGAUGCAAAUAUUCGGCGGCAGAAGAUGGCGAGAACGUGCGCGUCGGAAGUGAGCGAGAGUAGUCCUUUGAUUGUGGUGCACCGAACCCCGCCGAGUCCGCCUCUGUAUUCGUCUCCAGAGACAUAUUUAUCGCCGGGAAUUAGGUCGAAAAAUGAGGUGCAGGAGCAUGAUGUUGUGAAGCACAGCUUGUCUGGGAUGUUUCCUUCUGUUUCUCUAUUUAAAGAGUACCAGAACACAGCUAUGGCGAUUUUGGAGAAAUCAGAUUAUACUAUGAUUUCGGGGAACCCUUUCAUUAAAAAGUCAGGUUGGAGGAAGAUAUCAUUUUACUUCAAUCUCUCCUAUGAAAUCAAAGACAAGACUAUUGAAUUUGAUGAAAGCCGUAAUGUUCUGCGUGCUGAAUUUAUCGUUCGGGCAUGCAUGCAGGGUGGUAGGUUCUCAGAUGGAUGGGGCUCGUGUGAUCGGCGUGAGAAGAGAUUUUUAAAACCAAACCAUGAUAUCCCUAGUACAGCAGAAACCAGGGCUAAAAAUAAAGCAUGCCAGGAUCUGCUUGGACUUGGAGAGUACCGACCUGGUGUGAACCAAAUUCAGAAAUAAAUAUUCUUUCACCGCCUCGAAUCAGCAAUUCUGUUAACUAAAUUUUCAGUUAAUUACGUUGAUAAGAAAUUAUCAUACUUUGUGGCACUAACAUAAACCUGAUAACAGUAGAAACACAAGAAUUCAUGCCUCCUGUAAUGUUUGAAGCCAUUCAUGUAUUUCACAACCAUUGUUGUAAUGCAGUAAUUCACAGGAAGGAUCAUUUUCUCAAGUGUUGAAGUGGUGGGGACUAGUGUUCUUCAUCGUCGUUCAGUAGUUCGAAAAUUGAAGACAUCCUGGCCUGGAGUGGCUGGAGCUUGGACUAAUCAAAACAGGGAGAUCAGAGUUUGUUUGUGGACCAAAAGAAAAGGUGGCCCUCGAAAUACAGGAAGAUACAGUUUAUGUACACCCAAGCAAAGCAGAUCCUUCCCCUUUCCAUUUUU